AUUGAACGCUGGCGGAAUGCUUUACACAUGCAAGUCGAACGGUAGAGGGGGCAACCCCUUGAGGGUGGCGAACGGGUGAGUAAUAUAUCGGAACGUGCCCAGUCGUGGGGGAUAACGUAGCGAAAGCUACGCUAAUACCGCAUACGAUCUAAGGAUGAAAGCGGGGGACUCGCAAGAGCCUCGCGCGAUUGGAGCGGCCGAUAUCAGAUUAGGUAGUUGGUGGGGUAAAGGCUCACCAAGCCAACGAUCUGUAGCUGGUCUGGGAGGACGACCAGCCACACUGGAACUGAGACACGGUCCAGACUCCUACGGGAGGCAGCAGUGGGGAAUUUUGGACAAUGGACGCAAGUCUGAUCCAGCCAUUCCGCGUGCAGGAUGAAGGCCCUCGGGUUGUAAACUGCUUUUGUACGGAACGAAAGGGUUUCUAUUAAUACUAGGAGCUCAUGACGGUACCGUAAGAAUAAGCACCGGCUAACUACGUGCCAGCAGCCGCGGUAAUGUGACU
RNAcentral lists this ribosomal RNA (505 nucleotides) under uncultured bacterium. Its description in RNAcentral is "bacterial SSU rRNA". It matches the Rfam family "Bacterial small subunit ribosomal RNA", at positions 30 to 528 of the family's 1533-position model. The record is from RNAcentral.